UACAGAGGAGCCAAGCGUUGUCCGGAUUGACUGGGCGUAAAGCGCACGCAGGCGGUUGCGCGCGGGGGGGGUGAAAUCUGGCCGCUUAACGGCCAGGCGCCAUCCCAUACGGCGCGACUGGAGUGAUGCAGAGGUCGAUGGAAUUGCCGGUGUAGUGGUGAAAUGCGUAGAGAUCGGCAGGAACACCCAGGGGGAAACCAGUCGACUGGGCAUCUACUGACGCUGAGGUGCGAGAGCGUGGGGAGCGAACAGG
Molecule: ribosomal RNA, 253 nt
Filed under: uncultured bacterium
Lineage: Bacteria
Description: partial 16S ribosomal RNA
Rfam family: Bacterial small subunit ribosomal RNA
Source: RNAcentral